RNAcentral lists this ribosomal RNA (449 nucleotides) under uncultured bacterium. RNAcentral describes it as "partial 16S ribosomal RNA". It matches the Rfam family "Bacterial small subunit ribosomal RNA", at positions 338 to 795 of the family's 1533-position model. The record is from RNAcentral.
CCUACGGGGGGCUGCAGUGGGGAAUAUUGGACAAUGGGCGCAAGCCUGAUCCAGCAAUGCCGCGUGUGUGAAGAAGGCCUGCGGGUUGUAAAGCACUUUAAGCAGGAAAGACGGCUUCAGGGUUAAUACCCUUGGGGAUUGACGUUACCUGCAGAAUAAGCACCGGCUAACUCCGUGCCAGCAGCCUCGGUAAUACGGAGGGUGCGAGCGUUAGUCGGAAUUACUGGGCGUAAUUGGCGAGUCGGCUGUGAAAGCCCCGGGCUUAACCUGGGAACUGAAGUGGAUACUGGCAAGCUAGAGUAUGGUAGAGGAGAGUGGAAUUUCCGGUGUAGCAGUGAAAUGCGUAGAGAUCGGAAGGAACACCAGUGGCGAAGGCGGCUCUCUGGACCAAUACUGACGCUGAGGUGCGAAAGCGUGGGGAGCAAACAGGAUUAGAUACCCCAGUAGUC